GACGAACGCUGGCGGCGUGCUUAACACAUGCAAGUCGAACGCGCCUGUCCUCUGGGUUUCUGGGGGGUGGGUGAGUGGCGAACGGGUGAGUCACACGUGAGUAACCUGCCCCCUUCUUCGGGAUAACGGUCUGAAAGGGCUGCUAAUACCGGGUAUUCACUGGUCUCCGCAUGGGGUCUGGUGGAAAGGUUGUUGUCUGGUGGGGGAUGGGCUCGCGGCCUAUCAGCUGGUUGGUGGGGUGAUGGCCCACCAAGGCUUUGACGGGUAGCCGGCCUGAGAGGGUGACCGGUCACAUUGGGACUGAGAUACGGCCCAGACUACUACGGGAGGCAGCAGUGGGGAAUAUUGCACAAUGGGCGGAAGCCUGAGGCAGCGACGCCGCGUGCGGGAUGGAGGCCUUCGGGUUGUGAACCUCUUUCGCCCGUGGUCAAGCCGCGACGUGGGUCGUGGUGAGGGUAGUGGGUAAAGAAGCGCCGGCUAACUACGUG
RNAcentral lists this ribosomal RNA (488 nucleotides) under uncultured bacterium. RNAcentral describes it as "partial 16S ribosomal RNA". It matches the Rfam family "Bacterial small subunit ribosomal RNA", at positions 28 to 507 of the family's 1533-position model. The record is from RNAcentral.